Dendrobium catenatum is the source of this 633-nucleotide RNA transcript. RefSeq lists it as uncharacterized. The transcript is spliced from 4 exons. NCBI's taxonomy places the organism in Eukaryota, Viridiplantae, Streptophyta, Magnoliopsida, Asparagales, Orchidaceae. The record is from RefSeq and is a predicted model, not a curated record.
UUUUAAUCAAUUCUCCGUCAACAAACUACGGGACUGAAGAGAGGAGCCCUAAACCCUCCGCCGCCAUCUCUGGUGCCUUGUGAGCCUCUGUAAUCCUCUUUCACACAGAAAUGGCCUGCCGUGGCUCCAUCUCAAGGUCGAUCAUCUCCAUUGCACGUUCGUCUCCGUCUUCCCUCCGAUCACCGGCGGCUCUUCCCCGUUUCCGCCCUCCUCGUAUCCAACGCACUCGCCUCUUUGCUACCUCGAGGUUGCCGUGUGAGCUAGGAUGCGCAUCGUCACUUCUUCCGCUGCAUAGCGUGAUCGCCAUUCCGCGACUCACCUCUCACCUCUCGGUCAGCGCGAGAGCGUGCUGUGAGCUGUCUCAGGGGAGGAGUGGUAAAGAUGGGUGAUUGAAGAGAGUGGUCUACUUUCUGUCAGGAGUUUCAUGCUGCUAUUCAAAUGCUGUACUUGAAGACAGAAAUCUUGGUGGAGAAAAAUAAAAAGAAAAAAGGAAGCCAACGUUUGAACUACGCAUUGGAGUUGUUUAGCUGGGUAGGGGAGAGUAAUAUGCCAAAUUAGGCUUCUUGUAAUUUUCAGGGUGAACCAGCUAGAAUUUUUGUUUUUUUUUUUAAUAAAAACUUUACUUAUAUUCUA